UAUAGUAUGUUCUGUGUAGUUCUUGGAGCUUAUUCAUUUUAUUUUAUUUUUUUCAGGAUAUAUAUGAGGCAACUGAAUUUCAUCCAAUGUCUUCUUGUAAUGGAGAUUCUUCAGAUAGAGAUAAAUGUCUUUCAUCAUCUAUAAGGCUCAGUGUCUUGAGAAUACUAACCUCAAUCAAUUCCAGGCACUGUUACCUUUCUUGCAUAUCUCUAAGUUUAUUUAUUAUGCUCGCGACAUCAUUAUAAAUUAUUACAUUUGCCCAUGAAAUGUAUUAUAUGAUAUAUAUGUUUUGAAAAGUGGGUACUAAUCGGUAAUGUUCACGUAAAAUCCAUCUUGAAGUGAUUCCAGCACUUGAUAGUGUUGUGAAGAACGGACUCAUUUGACAUAAAGUAAAAUCCAUCUUGAAGUGAUUCCGAUAUUUCAUAGUGCCGUGAGGAAUGACUUAUUUGCCAUAGUAUUGAGUUAAUUUCCAUUGAAGGAUGAUGUGGCUAAAUUUAUUGUUCUAGUAGAUUGCGAUUUUAAGAGAAACUAAUUUUGCUAAUUUAGGCUUUGUUUGGAGGCACAUUUCUCAGCACAAGGGUCACUUGAUAUAUGUAAUUGGUUAAGUAUUCACUAAUUUGAGACUCUUUAUCGAUGCUCCUUUUUUGCCUUCUUAUAUACUGGAAGUUGGGAGAACUACGGUAUUAGCUUCACAAAUUUUUUUAUGUAUAAUAACUAAGCAACGCUUGUUAGACGAGCUGUGACAAAAUUGUGUUGGUCAACUUAUGUAUACAGUUUUGUUAUUUGAAGGCCAAUUGUGUGCUUGGUCCCUACAGGACUCUAACUGUCAACUCUUUUCCCUUGUAAGUUUCACAUGAUUACCAAUUUGAGACCACAACAUAUCAGCUAAUGGUCGGAAAAUAAAAUAUAUUGGUUUCGAUCAAAGGUUCAUAAAGAAAUGGUUACUUUUGUUGGCUAAAAUUUGUUAUAUGUGAAUCGUUUAUGGUAAUCUUUACAUUUCCCAAACUAUUUGCGCCUUUAAACUUUUUAAUCUGUAGAGAAAAUUUGAAAUAAUUUUAGCUUCUAGAGAGAUACUUAUAGCAGCUUAUUAGUGGCUCUCUGCUCAUGUGGUUAUUGGACGGUUAGUCCAGGUACAUUGAAGUUUAUGGCAAGUAAUUUCUUUAUUUUCAUGAUUGACAUAAUUAGAAUUUGUGAUUUCUUGGAGUUCACUGUUUUAGCAGUAUAGAAAUAUCAAUAGAUAUUAAAAACGGAUUUCAAUAUAUAGUUGUGUCUUAUAAGGCCUAACUGGCCUACUAACUAGCCAAGCGUAUUUAAGGGUCUGUUGGCAUAGAAUAAAAUGCUUAAUCAAGCUGUAAUGCUAGUAAGCUAGCUCUAAAAGAACAUAUUCUUCAUGUUUCUAACAUUUUCUUAUGUCGAACCAAUGCGGUGUGACAAACUCCCUUGUUAGAGAACUUCACAUCUUUAUGUGAUUUUCUCACUGGUCUCCUAGUUCUUUCAUAAUAGAUAUUCUCUUUGCUCCCUGGACUAGACAUAACUUAUGAUAUCUGCAGUUUGGUGGCAAUAUGAACAAGUCUAUCAAAUUGGUGCAAAAAUGUUGAACUGUCACACCAAUAUUAGUAUGCCAGCCUUACAUAUAGAUCAUUUACUUCCUAACAUCUUUGGUUGUGAGACAAUGAGUGUGAUAAAGAAAUGGGACAUUCCACCUUGAAUUUAAGUAACCAAUCUUAGAAAUAUAACAUAGUGAUUACAUUAACACUGACGAUAGACAUACUAUUGACUUCAUUAGAAUGCUUUCUAUUUCAUAUGACCUAUCAUGACUAGAUAUGUAGAUAUGCAGCGUAGAUAUCAGUGAAGUGGUAGGGCUUCUGUUCCAUUUGAUCUAUUUUACAUUUUGUUUUAUCAUUUGUUAUCUAACUUCCAAUACCAUGCACAAUAACAAUAAGAUAAUAAUUAGACAUGCCUCAUGUUGUUAUGAAGCUUUGCUAGGAGCUGUAUGUUGUAGCAUGUCUCCACCUGUGUCUAACUUCCAACUAGUUGUUGGCAUGUCCUAUUGCCAUAGUAAUAGAAAUCUUAGAAGUAAUAUGGACCUUGCAUUGUCAAUAUUUUAGGGUUUCAUCUUUCUCUAACACGUAUCAACCUUUUUGAUGAUGCCUCUAAUUUCUUCUCUUGCUGUUGAAGGGGCUCCUUCUGUGACAUCCUAAGGCUUGAGAAUAGUCCCAUAUCGACAACUAGAUGUGGGGGUAUAUAAGGCUGGAUAGGCUAGACAUAAUAAUUGGGUUUAAGCAUUUUGUGCCGUGAAUUUGGCCCAAUGAGUUAUUGGGUCCACAAUGCCCAGUUAAUUGAGCCGUGGGCUCUGUGAUGGGCGACCAAUCUGGGAAUUGGGUCGUGAUAAUUAUGAUAUCAGAGCCGGUUCACUAGUAGGAAAUGAGAGAUGAAUUUCGGCUGAGCCAAGGCCUGAAUGACGGGCUAAGUCAGGGUUUGAGAAUGACAAGGCUACGGAGACAAGUCUUACAUUACCUGGUGAUCUUGGGUAGUGUGCGUAAUUGAGCCCGACGAAGAUGUUAGGUCAUAAAAGAGGGGGAGGGGAGUCUGUGGCAUUCCAAGAUUUGAGAAUAGUCCCAUAAUAGUCCUGCUUCAGAUAGCCAUGGCUAGACGUAGGGGUACAUAAGGCUGGAUAGGCUAGACGAAUAACUAGGCUUAAACAUUUUGGGCCAGUGGAUUUUGGCCUAUCACGUUAUUGGUCCAGGGUACCCAGUUAAAUCGAGCCGUGGGCUCUGUCAUGGGUGACCACAUGGGAAUUGGGUCGUAACACUUUCAAUCUAACAUUCUAAUUACUGUAAAUAUAUACUACAUUGGAAACUUAAUUCUCGUGUUAUGGUACAAAAUGGAAUUAAGUUUUUUAUAUAUAGACAAAAUAUCCUAAUAUGAUAAGAACAUUUGAUUAUUAUGAUUCAAUGAUAGUAUAAUGGAAAAAAAAUAUUCGGAGAAUGAGAAUGAAAAAAAAAAAAACAUGAUAAGGAUACCUAGAGGGAUGAAAUUAAUAAUGGAAAUUUGAUACAGAUCAAAAUGUUAUUAAGCUCUUCUAUGACAUCUUUCCAAUUAUUUACUUUUAUUUAUCUUAUUUAUAUUUACUUUUUUUAUCUUAUUUAUUCGAUAAGCUGUGCAACAUAGCAAAGUGUCUGAAGCUUUGAUUUCUAGGUUCCAACAUGGAUGCUCCUAGAUACUGGGUGAAACUGAUUCAAGACUAAUAAAUUAAGUCUUUGGCUUUAGCUGAGAAUAAUACUGUGUAUAGUAUUGACUGCUCGAGAUUUUAGUCAAAAUAGUGCCCUCCCUACUUUCACAUGAAGAGAAUGUUAGACAUAUUUGCCAUGGAAUAAUCCAUUAUCAUAAGUUAACAAGUUGUGUCAUUUUUCUUCAUGAGAUUUUCCUCGCAUUUGAACUGUGCAAAGAAGAUUCAAGUGAAUUAUUUUCAUUUUGUAGUAUCGCUAUGCAAUCUUUUUUUUCUUGUUUCUUUAUGAAUUAUGCAUUCACUUGCCUCAUGAAUUCACAAUCAUUUGUUUAAAGUUAAUUUUUUCAAUCUUUCAUCAGUGUGUUAAUAUUUAUUCCCAAUGUUAUACUAUAGGAUGUGUAACCAAAAAAUUGCUGAAGUACAGUUCAGUGGACUUGGUAUUGAAUGUGAAUUUUUGAAAGAUUCGGCUGCUAUUCUUGCCUCGAUUGAUUCUGUUAAGAUAGCCAACCCUGUGAAUGAUAAU
Molecule: long non-coding RNA, 3752 nt
Filed under: Ananas comosus (pineapple)
Lineage: Eukaryota; Viridiplantae; Streptophyta; Magnoliopsida; Poales; Bromeliaceae
Description: long non-coding RNA (ACOM_LNC033177)
Source: RNAcentral